This 433-nucleotide ribosomal RNA is filed under the name uncultured bacterium. RNAcentral's name for it is "partial 16S ribosomal RNA". It matches the Rfam family "Bacterial small subunit ribosomal RNA", at positions 29 to 507 of the family's 1533-position model. The record is from RNAcentral.
AACGAACGCUGGCGGCAGGCCUAACACAUGCAAGUCGAGCGAGGACUUCGGUUCUAGCGGCGGACGGGUGAGUAACGCGUGGGAAUGUGCCCUUCUCUACGGAAUAGCCCUGGGAAACUGGUAGUAAUACCGUAUACGCCCUAUUGGGGAAAGAUUUAUCGGAGAAGGAUCAGCCCGCGUUGGAUUAGGUAGUUGGUGGGGUAAUGGCCUACCAAGCCGACGAUCCAUAGCUGGUUUGAGAGGAUGAUCAGCCACACUGGGACUGAGACACGGCCCAGACUCCUACGGGAGGCAGCAGUGGGGAAUCUUAGACAAUGGGGGCAACCCUGAUCUAGCCAUGCCGCGUGAGUGAUGAAGGCCUUAGGGUUGUAAAGCUCUUUCAGCUGGGAAGAUAAUGACGGUACCAGCAGAAGAAGCCCCGGCUAACUCCGUG